RNAcentral lists this small nuclear RNA (19 nucleotides) under Arabidopsis thaliana (thale cress). RNAcentral describes it as "snRNA_02921". The record is from RNAcentral. Lineage: Eukaryota; Viridiplantae; Streptophyta; Magnoliopsida; Brassicales; Brassicaceae.
CAGCCCCAAUCGGGCGGUA